UUUGUUUGUUUGUUUGUUUGUUUGUUUUUUUUUUUUUUUUUUUUUUUGGGGGGUUAUUUUUUUUUAAUUUCCUUAUUACAAAAAUUCUAAAAAAAGUGAUAUAAUUCAUUAAAACAGUCACACACCUGUUUUAUAUAUAUGUGUAUAUAUAUAUGUAUAUAUAUAUACUUGCAUAACCUUUAAUGAAUAAGAAAAAUGACAAAACUUAUUUUGUUGUUGUUCUUCUUUACAUAUUAUUUUAAUACAGCCUUGGAUGCAAGUCUAAUGAAACAAGCAGAAAUAAAUUAUAAUGACAAUUUUAGAAAGAGCAGGAUUAACAAAAGCGUUGAGUGCUAUCUAAAGAAAAUACGUUUUUUUACAUUAUGCAACAUGUUCGCAUUUUAUAGUAAUACGCUCGAUUAUUACAACAAAACUGUUGAUAUAAGAAGUUGGUUUGUAAAAACCCAGCAGAAUUAUAAAACUAGACAUUGUGAAAAUUUUUUGAACUUGGAUGGGAAAGAAUCAAAAAUAACUGAUUUUUUAUUGAAUCAUAGUGUUAAUCUAAAAAACAUAACUUCAAAGAGUAUGUUUACAAAAAUAUACUUUUUUUUAUGUAAAGGUUUUUUGGAUUUAGUAAAAAAGUUUAAUGUUAUAAAUUAUUUAAAAAUAAUUAAGUUCUCAAAAAAAAAAAUAAAAAGAUGUCUUAAAGAAAUUCAGGAAAUAGAUUUAUUGUCGAAAUAUGGAAGUGAGACAAGCGGAAACAUAUAUAAAGAAGUUAAAAUGGAAUAUAAUCAAACCAAGUCAGUAGAAUCUAGUAGUAAAACAAAAAACAAUAAAAGUAGUACACAUGAAUAUGAAAACAGUUUUAUAUAUAAAAAAAAAAAUACAUUAAACAAAAAAAUAAAAUAUAAUAAAAAACAUAACGCAGGUAUGUUAAAUUUGCGUUUUUUAGACAACAUGAGAGAAUUUAUAAGGUUCGGUGAAGAUAUAAACGGUGAACGAGAACGAGAACGAGCACAAACACUAGAACAUAUGAUUGAGCGUGAGCGUGAGCGUGAACGAAAACAAAAAGGAGAAGAAAAAAAUGAAAAUAAAAAUCUUGAUACCGAAAAAAAACAAAAGACACGUAACCCUUACAGCAUAAAAAGUCUUAUUACGGCAUAUCAACCCGCUGGUCCAAUAGUUAUUGACCCUGAUCAAAUAUUUAUGACCGGUACUGAACAAAGAAAAAAAAUAAAAGUUAAAGGUUUACAUUUGUUUAGGAUAACAAAUACUAACGCUAAAAUAUAUAAAGGUUUAAAAAAUUGUGAUGGACAUGUUGUGCUAGAGAUAGGUUUUGCAAGAAAAUUUAGUGAAUACAUUGAGACAAACUUUAUAUUUAUUAAUAAAGAAGGUGUAUAUACAAUGUGCAUAUUGUAUGAAAAUACUAUUAGGCAAAUGGGAACAAUAUACGUGCAAAAGGGUUAUAAUGAAAAUCUGAAUGAUUUUUUAGGUACUAAUAACCAAGCAUUUUUUAACUGUGACAUUAAUUUUGGAUCUGUACUUAUGCACUAUAAUAAAUCACUUAUACAAAUUUCACUACUUGAGCAUCGCAAUGAGAUAAUUUUCGAUAAUUUUGAUAUAAGUUAUGCAAAAGCUUUAUUAAACGAAACAAAUAAGUAUUUAGCAUGUGCAACAUAUGAAAACUAUAUGGUACUAUUAACAUCAAAGUAUGUAUUAGUUUUAAAAGAAAGUGAACAAAAAUCUAGGACAAAGGAGGUAAUCGUCCAUAAUUUACCUAGCCCAAUAGCAAUAGCAAUUGAUAAUAGUAAUAUAUACAUUACAGAUUCUAUUUUUAAAAAUGUUUUUAAAUAUACAUCAAUGUACUUAGAAGAGGAACCUAGUAUAAAAGAAAAAUCUAAUAAUAAUUAUUCAUAUUAUAAUAAUGGUAAAUAUUUUUUAAGAAAAAACGAUUAUUUACCUAACAAUAUAAAAGCAUAUGAAAAAAAAAAAAGAUUUAUAAAUGUAUAUGGUCUAAUUGAUAAUACUAUUACUUUAGGUAAUCCAGCUGGAUUAGUUGUUGUAAAAAAUUUAUUAUAUUUUGUUGAUUCUGCGUUACAUAUGUUAUUUUGUUUUGAUUUAACAAAAAAAAAAAUAAUACAAUCAUAUGGUUUUUUUAACACACCAAUUGAGAAUUUAGAUGGUUUAAAUAGACCUUAUGUUUUAAGUUUGUAUAAACACCAAAUUCUUCACAAAAAUCUUUUAAUUCUUGGUGAAAUGAAUGGUUCAAGAAUUUUAAUUUUUGAAUUAGACCCAGAAAUUUCUCUAUAUUCAUAUCAUAAUCCUAUUGAUCAAGAUAUAAUUACUGAUAUUGUUACUAUAAAAAACUAUAUAGUUAUUUUUGGAUUUAAAAUUGUAAAUUCAAAAUGUACUAACUAUGUAUCAUAUAUAAAAAUAGACAGAUUCUCUAAAAUCGAAGUCAUAUAUGAAAAAUUACCUAACGACUUUUAUAUGAAUGAAGAUAUAUCGAUCAGUCCACGUGUUAACAAUGUUAAGGAUAUUACAUUUUUUAUGACAACAUCACUCGAAUCAGAUAUACAAGACAAGGCUGUUGUGGUUGCAAGUGGCUUAGAAAUUGAUCGACAUACCGGUACAAUAUAUGGAAAAAUACAAAUAAAUGACAAUUUUAUUAUUUCUAUUUUGGCAAAUGAUUAUUUUAACACAACUAAAAUUAUCAUACCAACAAUAAAACCAUAUUGUCCUAUAGGUCAAUAUAAAGAUGGUAGUGUAUGUACCCCUUGUAAAAUAGGAACUUAUUCUAUUGGAAAAAAUAUAUGUGAACAAUGUAAAAACAAAAAAAAACAUUCCACAACCUCUCAUACCGGAAUGUUAAAACAACAUGAUUGCGUAUGUAAAAUUGGGUAUUAUUUAGAGAAUGACAAUUGUGUAAAAUGUCAACCUGGUUAUUUUAAAGAUCUCGUUGGUGAUUUUAAAUGUACAAACACAUGUGAAAACUUAAAAACCAGUUUAGUUAGUGGAGCAAGUAGUUAUGAUGAAUUAAAAUGCCAUUGUAAAAAUGGAUUUGUAGAAGAUAUACAUGGACAAUGUGUUCCAUGUCCUUUAAACCAUUAUUGUUUCGGUGUAUUAAGCAUGGCAAUGGAAUAUAAACAUGUUAAAAAACGUUGUAAAAAAAAUACCGUUACGUUACAAACAAAAAGUACAUCAGAAAAGGAUUGUGUAUGUAAAAAAACAUAUUUUUACGAUUCUAUUACACAAAAAUGUAAACUAUGCGAUUUUCAUCAGUAUAAACCAUUACCUGGGAACGAACCUUGUACUGAUUUUAUAAAAGCUACAGAAUAUGUAGAUAUAUACGUAAAUAGUGAAAUAUAUGUAAAAAAAAAUAAAAAUCUACUACUUAUUAAUACAACUGAUGUUUUAUUUUCUAAACUAAAAGGAUCUAAAAGUUUUGAAAAUGCAAAUUCAUGUGAAAGUGGUUUUUAUUUUAAUGAAGCAACUUCUAUUUGUACUAUUUGUAGGUAUGAUC
RNAcentral lists this long non-coding RNA (3502 nucleotides) under Piliocolobus tephrosceles (Ugandan red Colobus). RNAcentral's name for it is "lncRNA (ENSPTEG00000007935.1)". Lineage: Eukaryota; Metazoa; Chordata; Mammalia; Primates; Cercopithecidae. The record is from RNAcentral.